RNAcentral lists this ribosomal RNA (2550 nucleotides) under Triticum aestivum (bread wheat). RNAcentral describes it as "partial small subunit ribosomal RNA". The record is from RNAcentral. Lineage: Eukaryota; Viridiplantae; Streptophyta; Magnoliopsida; Poales; Poaceae.
AUGACAGGGCCAAUUUGGCCAUCUAUUGAGGCCGAAAAUUGUGAGUUGAGGCCUGGACUUAUUGCUCUUGUAUUGCAGAAUCAGUUUAGAGGAUUACCCAAUGAAGACCCUCAUGAGCACAUUAGUAAUGUUCUGGAGUAUGCCAAUACAGUCCAGUACCAUGGCGUUUCCCAAGAUGCUAUCAAGUGUAUGUUGUUCACAUUCUCUCUCAGAGAUGCUGCUAAGGACUGGUACUAUUCUUUGCAAUCAAGAUCAUACACUUGGGGUGAUAUUUCGCAAGCUUUCCUGCAUAGAUAUUUUCCACUUUACAAGCAAGCUGCAAUUCGUGACCAGAUACUCAGUUUUGUGCAAGAUGGAAGUGAGAGCUUGUAUGCAGCUUGGGAGAGAUAUAAGUAUUUGCUUAGAAAAUGUCCUAAUCACGGGCAAAAGUAUUGGUUAGUGCUUCAGAUAUUCUAUAGAGGGCUGACACAUGCUUCAAGAGAUCUUAUUGAUAUGUCAGCUAGUGGAACAAUCAUGAACAAGACCGUUGAGGGUGCAAUUAUUCUCAUUGAGAGCAUUUCCUUCCACCAAAUGCAAUGGGGUUAUGAAAGGCCUAGUUCAAAUCCAAAGGUUGCAAGCUGUGUGCAAUCAGAAGCUGUGUGUUCCAUAAGUGAACAGGAAUCAUCCAUGGUGCCUAAUAUUCAAAACCAGCAUGUUUCAUUCCAGGGACAACAACAUUUCAGAACUGAAUUACAGCCUCCAUAUAGAAACAUUGAUCUUAUUUCAAUUAUCCUUGAUGAUGAUUAUGAUAUUUUCCAAGAUGAUGCAACCACUGUAGAUCAGAUGGAUACCACAGUAGCAGAUCCAAUACCUCAUGGCAAUGAAAUUAAAAAGAGUAUCUCAGAGAAGAAUAGUGAAGAUGAGAUUCCAACUCCUGCACAUACAAUUAAACAAGUCGGAGACAUUCCAAGGAGAGAGAUACAAGAGGUUGAGUUAAAUUUAGAAGAGCUGAUACUUCAAUAUCCUGAGAAGAUCCCAUGUGUUGCUGAGCUGCAUGACUGGUGGAAGUCAUCGGUGUCACUGUUGAAACUUAGCAAUGAUGGUGAUGAGGAGAACAUUUCUCAGAAAGACAGCGAGGUAGUGAUCUCACCACCCCUACCAGAUCAUGUUAGUGAAUAUUCACACAUGGGGACACUUCAGACUCAAUUAAGUGUUGCUGGUAGUAGCACCAUAGAAGAUCCAGAGGAAGAGAGACCUCAGAUUGAAGAUGUACUCGAAGCCAAGGCACAAGAUGAUCCAGAGUUCGAACAACCAAGUAAUCAAGUUGAAGACUCAUCAUCUACUACUCUUGAAGAAGCAAAAGAAGCUGCUGUAGAUGAACUUGAAGAACCAGAAAUUCAUUUGCCUAUUGUCACACAAGAGCGUGAUGUAGCAGGUUUAUCUAAUCCUCUUAAUGACAUGUCUUCAUAUGAUUUGUUUGCUACAACCUUGCAUUGCAUGAUGCCAUCACUUAAGGUAGAUUUGAAAAAAUAUUUGCUUGGACAUGAUCAUACAUACAUUGUUGGUGGCAUUGCUCUCAUUCCUGAUGAUGACACUUAUUUUCCUUAUGCUAGUCCUAUGCUUAAUGAAACAUAUUAUUCCCAUGCUAGUCUUGAGCUUAAUGAUAAAUUUCAUCCUCAUGUUAGUGUCGACCUUGCUGAUUUCUACCAUCCUAAACAUGUGCUUUAUAGCUGUGCCUAUGUAAUUGGAUAUUCGAUUGAUGACUUGGAGGGUUCUUGCUUGUGCACGAAUCACUACAUGCUGACCAAGUUCGAGAUGACAUUCCCUGGGACCCCGGUGGACCCAUGGCAUGGGGAUGAGGAGAAGCAAGGAGCACACAUGAAGAGAGAAGCUGGAGCAGGCAUGAGGACAGGGAAGCAAAAGGAGAGGAGUCACAAUGCACGAGGAAGCAAAGGAGAAGAGUUGCAGUUUGGAGAGUGUCGAGCGAGUGCUACUUCCUAUAAAACCCGAUGGUGCUUGAUGAGAAUAUGCAAACUGAUUGUUGAAUGCCAUGUGUAUACCAUGUUCUCGGGAUCGGUGGCCUGGCAUCUCCAUUCCCCUCACCCCACCUUCUACACCACCGGCCGGCGCCGCGGCCAGGCCGGCGCUGCGGUGCGCCAACCAGUGCCACCCAGCCACCCAUCCUCGCCAUCUCCAUCACCCGCCGCUGCACCGUCCACCACCACCAUCUCCAGCGCCACACACCAGCGCCAUACCAUCCAUUCUGCCAACCUCCAGCGCCAUCGCAUCCACGGCGCGGCCGACCAGACAAGGUGUCUGGUGCUGCGCGCGAACCUGCCUUCUGCUGCUGCUCUUCCCUACUGCCCUUCUCUUCUUCCCCAUCGCCUUCCUGCUGCUCCCUCCGCCCAUCUGGCUGCUGCUCCUCCUCUGUUUCUCCUCUCACGACCCUGCUUGGUCUCGGCUGAAGCUUCUCUCUCAACGCCUCAUGCUGCUCCUCCUUCUCUGAACCUGCUGCUGCUCCCAACCCCCUGCUGCUAUCUCUCUACUUCCCCUGCUACCCUUCUUCUCUGA